CCUACGGGAGGCAGCAGUGAGGAAUAUUGGUCAAUGGGCGAGAGCCUGAACCAGCCAAGUCGCGUGAAGGAUGACGGCCCUACGGGUUGUAAACUUCUUUUGUCAGGGAGCAAUUGAGUCCCCGUGUGGUCUUAGCGAGAGUACCUGAAGAAAAAGCAUCGUCUAACUCCGUGCCAGCAGCCGCGGUAAUACGGAGGAUGUGAGCGUUAUUCGGAUUGAUUGGGUUUAAAGGGUGCGUAGGCGGAAUAUCAAGUCAGCGGUAAAAAUUCGGGGCUCAACCCCGUCGUGCCGUUGAUACUGAUGUUCUUGAGUGGGCGAGAGGUAUGCGGAAUGCGUGGUGUAGCGGUGAAAUGCGUAGAUAUCACGAAGAACUCCGAUUGCGAAGGCAGCAUACCGGCGCCCAACUGACGCUGAAGCACGAAAGCGUGGGUAUCGAACAGGAUUAGAUACCCGAGUAGUC
RNAcentral lists this ribosomal RNA (460 nucleotides) under uncultured bacterium. RNAcentral's name for it is "partial 16S ribosomal RNA". It matches the Rfam family "Bacterial small subunit ribosomal RNA", at positions 338 to 795 of the family's 1533-position model. The record is from RNAcentral.